This 1226-nucleotide ribosomal RNA is filed under the name Burkholderia multivorans. Its description in RNAcentral is "partial 23S ribosomal RNA". It matches the Rfam family "Bacterial large subunit ribosomal RNA", at positions 176 to 1445 of the family's 2925-position model. Lineage: Bacteria; Pseudomonadati; Pseudomonadota; Betaproteobacteria; Burkholderiales; Burkholderiaceae. The record is from RNAcentral.
GAAGCGAACGCGGUGAACUGAAACAUCUAAGUAACCGCAGGAAAAGAAAUCAACCGAGAUUCCCAAAGUAGUGGCGAGCGAAAUGGGAUGAGCCUUGUACUCUUUAUUUGUAUUGUUAGCCGAACGCUCUGGAAAGUGCGGCCAUAGCAGGUGAUAGCCCUGUAGGCGAAAACAGUAUGAAAGAACUAGGUGUACGACAAGUAGGGCGGGACACGUGAAAUCCUGUCUGAAGAUGGGGGGACCAUCCUCCAAGGCUAAAUACUCGUGAUCGACCGAUAGUGAACCAGUACCGUGAGGGAAAGGCGAAAAGAACCCCGGGAGGGGAGUGAAAUAGAUCCUGAAACCGCAUGCAUACAAACAGUCGGAGCCUCGUAAGGGGUGACGGCGUACCUUUUGUAUAAUGGGUCAGCGACUUACGUUCAGUAGCAAGCUUAACCGUAUAGGGCAGGCGUAGCGAAAGCGAGUCCGAAUAGGGCGUUCAGUUGCUGGGCGUAGACCCGAAACCAGGUGAUCUAUCCAUGGCCAGGAUGAAGGUGCGGUAACACGUACUGGAGGUCCGAACCCACUAACGUUGAAAAGUUAGGGGAUGAGCUGUGGAUAGGGGUGAAAGGCUAAACAAACCUGGAAAUAGCUGGUUCUCUCCGAAAACUAUUUAGGUAGUGCCUCGUGUCUCACCUUCGGGGGUAGAGCACUGUCAUGGUUGGGGGGUCUAUUGCAGAUUACCCCGCCAUAGCAAACUCCGAAUACCGAAGAGUGCAAUCACGGGAGACAGACAUCGGGUGCUAACGUCCGGUGUCAAGAGGGAAACAACCCAGACCGCCAGCUAAGGUCCCCAAAUAUGGCUAAGUGGGAAACGAAGUGGGAAGGCUAAAACAGUCAGGAGGUUGGCUUAGAAGCAGCCACCCUUUAAAGAAAGCGUAAUAGCUCACUGAUCGAGUCGUCCUGCGCGGAAGAUGUAACGGGGCUAAGCCAUAUACCGAAGCUGCGGAUGCGUGCUUGCACGCAUGGUAGGAGAGCGUUCCGUAAGCCUGCGAAGGUGCCUUGUAAAGGGUGCUGGAGGUAUCGGAAGUGCGAAUGCUGACAUGAGUAGCGAUAAAGGGGGUGAAAGGCCCCCUCGCCGUAAGCCCAAGGUUUCCUACGCAACGUUCAUCGGCGUAGGGUGAGUCGGCCCCUAAGGCGAGGCAGAAAUGCGUAGCUGAUGGGAAGCAGGUCAAUAUUCCUGCACC